UUGCUUUGGCAGCACAUAUGCUAAAACUGGAAUGUUACAGGGAACAUUAGCAUGGUCCCUGCUCAAAGAUGACAGGCAAAUUCAUAAAGCAUUCCUUAAUGAA
Vulpes vulpes (red fox) is the source of this 103-nucleotide small nuclear RNA. The record is from Ensembl. Lineage: Eukaryota; Metazoa; Chordata; Mammalia; Carnivora; Canidae.